Larimichthys crocea (large yellow croaker) is the source of this 502-nucleotide long non-coding RNA. RefSeq lists it as uncharacterized. Lineage: Eukaryota; Metazoa; Chordata; Actinopteri; Sciaenidae. The record is from RefSeq and is a predicted model, not a curated record. The transcript is spliced from 4 exons.
GCUCGGAGCAGCACAGGUGAACCGGUCGUACAAAACAACACAAGCAGGAAAUGUCAAGAUGCUGAUUCCUCAUGUAUACAUGUGGUCCUGACAGACAUGGGACCAAGUCACACAUGUGUAAGUCUCAAGUCUUAACCUUGAAGUCACAAGCAGACCUUUUUGGCUCCGGGGCGAACCAUAACUCUUACCUCAUUACCAUGAAAGGUGCGCUCGCUCAGCGAUUUUGCCCAGGUCACAUCUGGCACCACCCAGAAUAGAUGAAGAGAGGGGGAGAAGGCAGUCCACUUUGAACUUCAAAGCAGGCGGUAAAAGUUUGCUUGGAGCUAGGUGCAGCCAGCCAGGAGGAGAUGUUCCAGCAUGUACCUUGACAUAGCGGCUCUGUAAUUCACCACCACAGUUUUCAUGUAUAAUUUACCACCGCAAGAAAUUCCUCUUUCAUGUAUUAUUAAACGGAAUAACCCGUCAUUUGGGCUCAGGCACAGUUUUCACUGUGCAAUUACGU